CCUACGGGUGGCAGCAGUGGGGAAUAUUGGACAAUGGGCGAAAGCCUGAUCCAGCCAUGCCGCGUGUGUGAAGAAGGCCUUCGGGUUGUAAAGCACUUUCAGUGGGGAAGAAAGCCUUGGGGCUAAUACCCUCGAGGAAGGACAUCACCCACAGAAGAAGCACCGGCUAACUCCGUGCCAGCAGCCGCGGUAAUACGGAGGGUGCGAGCGUUAAUCGGAAUUACUGGGCGUAAAGCGCGCGUAGGCGGUCUGAUAAGCCGGUUGUGAAAGCCCCGGGCUCAACCUGGGAACGGCAUCCGGAACGGUCAGGCUAGAGUGCAGGAGAGGAAGGUAGAAUUCCCGGUGUAGCGGUGAAAUGCGUAGAGAUCGGGAGGAAUACCAGUGGCGACGGCGGCCUUCUGGACUGACACUGACGCUGAGGUGCGAAAGCGUGGGUAGCAAACAGGAUUAGAUACCCCUGUAGUC
This 465-nucleotide ribosomal RNA is filed under the name Vreelandella stevensii. RNAcentral describes it as "partial 16S ribosomal RNA". It matches the Rfam family "Bacterial small subunit ribosomal RNA", at positions 338 to 795 of the family's 1533-position model. The record is from RNAcentral. Lineage: Bacteria; Pseudomonadati; Pseudomonadota; Gammaproteobacteria; Oceanospirillales; Halomonadaceae.